RNAcentral lists this ribosomal RNA (2902 nucleotides) under Klebsiella pneumoniae. Its description in RNAcentral is "23S ribosomal RNA". It matches the Rfam family "Bacterial large subunit ribosomal RNA". Lineage: Bacteria; Pseudomonadati; Pseudomonadota; Gammaproteobacteria; Enterobacterales; Enterobacteriaceae. The record is from RNAcentral.
GGUUAAGCGACUAAGCGUACACGGUGGAUGCCCUGGCAGUCAGAGGCGAUGAAGGACGUGCUAAUCUGCGAAAAGCGUCGGUAAGGUGAUAUGAACCGUUAUAACCGGCGAUGUCCGAAUGGGGAAACCCAGUGCAAUUCGUUGCACUAUCGUUAACUGAAUACAUAGGUUAACGAGGCGAACCGGGGGAACUGAAACAUCUAAGUACCCCGAGGAAAAGAAAUCAACCGAGAUUCCCCCAGUAGCGGCGAGCGAACGGGGAGCAGCCCAGAGUCUGAAUCAGCUUGUGUGUUAGUGGAACGGUCUGGAAAGUCCGACGGUACAGGGUGAUAGUCCCGUACACCAAAAUGCACAGGUUGUGAACUCGAAGAGUAGGGCGGGACACGUGGUAUCCUGUCUGAAUAUGGGGGGACCAUCCUCCAAGGCUAAAUACUCCUGACUGACCGAUAGUGAACCAGUACCGUGAGGGAAAGGCGAAAAGAACCCCGGCGAGGGGAGUGAAAAAGAACCUGAAACCGUGUACGUACAAGCAGUGGGAGCACCUUCGGGUGUGACUGCGUACCUUUUGUAUAAUGGGUCAGCGACUUAUAUUCUGUAGCAAGGUUAACCGUAUAGGGGAGCCGCAGGGAAACCGAGUCUUAACUGGGCGUUAAGUUGCAGGGUAUAGACCCGAAACCCGGUGAUCUAGCCAUGGGCAGGUUGAAGGUUGGGUAACACUAACUGGAGGACCGAACCGACUAAUGUUGAAAAAUUAGCGGAUGACUUGUGGCUGGGGGUGAAAGGCCAAUCAAACCGGGAGAUAGCUGGUUCUCCCCGAAAGCUAUUUAGGUAGCGCCUCGUGAACUCAUCUUCGGGGGUAGAGCACUGUUUCGGCUAGGGGGUCAUCCCGACUUACCAACCCGAUGCAAACUACGAAUACCGAAGAAUGUUAUCACGGGAGACACACGGCGGGUGCUAACGUCCGUCGUGAAGAGGGAAACAACCCAGACCGCCAGCUAAGGUCCCAAAGUCAUGGUUAAGUGGGAAACGAUGUGGGAAGGCACAGACAGCCAGGAUGUUGGCUUAGAAGCAGCCAUCAUUUAAAGAAAGCGUAAUAGCUCACUGGUCGAGUCGGCCUGCGCGGAAGAUGUAACGGGGCUAAACCAUGCACCGAAGCUGCGGCAGCGACACGAUGUGUUGUUGGGUAGGGGAGCGUUCUGUAAGCCUGCGAAGGUGACCUGUGAGGGUUGCUGGAGGUAUCAGAAGUGCGAAUGCUGACAUAAGUAACGAUAAAGCGGGUGAAAAGCCCGCUCGCCGGAAGACCAAGGGUUCCUGUCCAACGUUAAUCGGGGCAGGGUGAGUCGACCCCUAAGGCGAGGCCGAAAGGCGUAGUCGAUGGGAAACAGGUUAAUAUUCCUGUACUUGGUGUUACUGCGAAGGGGGGACGGAGAAGGCUAUGUUAGCCGGGCGACGGUUGUCCCGGUUUAAGCAUGUAGGCUGGUUAUCCAGGCAAAUCCGGAUAAUCAAGGCUGAGGUGUGAUGACGAGGCACUACGGUGCUGAAGUAACAAAUGCCCUGCUUCCAGGAAAAGCCUCUAAGCAUCAGGUAACAUCAAAUCGUACCCCAAACCGACACAGGUGGUCAGGUAGAGAAUACCAAGGCGCUUGAGAGAACUCGGGUGAAGGAACUAGGCAAAAUGGUGCCGUAACUUCGGGAGAAGGCACGCUGGUGUGUAGGUGAAGUCCCUGCGGAUGGAGCUGAGACCAGUCGAAGAUACCAGCUGGCUGCAACUGUUUAUUAAAAACACAGCACUGUGCAAACACGAAAGUGGACGUAUACGGUGUGACGCCUGCCCGGUGCCGGAAGGUUAAUUGAUGGGGUUAUCCGUAAGGAGAAGCUCUUGAUCGAAGCCCCGGUAAACGGCGGCCGUAACUAUAACGGUCCUAAGGUAGCGAAAUUCCUUGUCGGGUAAGUUCCGACCUGCACGAAUGGCGUAAUGAUGGCCAGGCUGUCUCCACCCGAGACUCAGUGAAAUUGAACUCGCUGUGAAGAUGCAGUGUACCCGCGGCAAGACGGAAAGACCCCGUGAACCUUUACUAUAGCUUGACACUGAACAUUGAGCCUUGAUGUGUAGGAUAGGUGGGAGGCUUUGAAGCGUGGACGCCAGUCUGCGUGGAGCCAACCUUGAAAUACCACCCUUUAAUGUUUGAUGUUCUAACGUUGGCCCCUGACCGGGGUUGCGGACAGUGUCUGGUGGGUAGUUUGACUGGGGCGGUCUCCUCCCAAAGCGUAACGGAGGAGCACGAAGGUUAGCUAAUCCUGGUCGGACAUCAGGAGGUUAGUGCAAUGGCAUAAGCUAGCUUGACUGCGAGCGUGACGGCGCGAGCAGGUGCGAAAGCAGGUCAUAGUGAUCCGGUGGUUCUGAAUGGAAGGGCCAUCGCUCAACGGAUAAAAGGUACUCCGGGGAUAACAGGCUGAUACCGCCCAAGAGUUCAUAUCGACGGCGGUGUUUGGCACCUCGAUGUCGGCUCAUCACAUCCUGGGGCUGAAGUAGGUCCCAAGGGUAUGGCUGUUCGCCAUUUAAAGUGGUACGCGAGCUGGGUUUAGAACGUCGUGAGACAGUUCGGUCCCUAUCUGCCGUGGGCGCUGGAGAAUUGAGGGGGGCUGCUCCUAGUACGAGAGGACCGGAGUGGACGCAUCACUGGUGUUCGGGUUGUCAUGCCAAUGGCACUGCCCGGUAGCUAAAUGCGGAAGAGAUAAGUGCUGAAAGCAUCUAAGCACGAAACUUGCCCCGAGAUGAGUUCUCCCUGAGACUUUAAGUCUCCUGAAGGAACGUUAAAGACGAUGACGUUGAUAGGCCGGGUGUGUAAGCGCAGCGAUGCGUUGAGCUAACCGGUACUAAUGAACCGUGAGGCUUAACCUU